UUCCUGGGCAGAGGUGAGUCACACCUUCUCCUCUCACCAGACUCUGAGCUAAUUCUCCACAGGUGAGGAGCAGGGGGAGCAGCAGCUGCAGGAGAUUUCCCCAAUCAGGGACGCGGGUUCAAAAGGAGGAUGGAGACACAUCACUUUGCCGGAUGAUUGCACCAGUUUAGGAUCAUCUCAUCAUCUACUCACCCUCGCUGUCUUCGUUUUCUGGAACAUACUCAUCACGUCUCAUCCUCCUCCGCCGUUCCUGUUUGGCUUUCCCUCUGCUACCUCACCCCUCCUGGAUCUCUCAUCCUCUGCCCAGCGUCCUCCCCGGCUUCCCCUCCUCUACUGAUUAACCUGAGCACCUCAGAGACUCGAGCCGUGUUGCUCAUCCCACAGGACUUCCCUGUGCGGUUUCAGUUCCCGUUUUUAUAAUAAAGACAUUUUACUUUA
Molecule: non-coding RNA, 438 nt
Organism: Nothobranchius furzeri (turquoise killifish)
Lineage: Eukaryota; Metazoa; Chordata; Actinopteri; Cyprinodontiformes; Nothobranchiidae
Source: RefSeq, a predicted model, not a curated record